UACGUAGGGUGCGAGCGUUGUCCGGAAUUACUGGGCGUAAAGAGCUCGUAGGUGGUUUGUCGCGUUGUUCGUGAAAACUCACAGCUUAACUGUGGGCGUGCGGGCGAUACGGGCAGACUGGAGUACUGCAGGGGAGACUGGAAUUCCUGGUGUAGCGGUGGAAUGCGCAGAUAUCAUCAGGAAUACCGGAGGCGAAGGCGGCUCACUGGGGGUUUUCUGACGCUGAGGAACGAAAGCCAGGGGAGCGAACGGGGA
RNAcentral lists this ribosomal RNA (255 nucleotides) under uncultured bacterium. RNAcentral describes it as "partial 16S ribosomal RNA". It matches the Rfam family "Bacterial small subunit ribosomal RNA", at positions 524 to 778 of the family's 1533-position model. The record is from RNAcentral.